This 1553-nucleotide ribosomal RNA is filed under the name Bacillus subtilis subsp. subtilis str. BSP1. RNAcentral's name for it is "16S ribosomal RNA". Lineage: Bacteria; Bacillati; Bacillota; Bacilli; Caryophanales; Bacillaceae. The record is from RNAcentral.
CAUUUUUAAAUUUAUCCUCUGUUUUACAUCAAUAAACAACGGUUUUCCUUCUCCCAAAACAACAGGGUGAAUAGAUAAUCUAAAUUCAUCAACAAGCCCCAAAUUUAUAAAAGUUGUAAUGAGACUCGCUCCACCAUAUAGCCAGAUGUCUUUGCCAGACUUUUUCUUCAAUUUAUUUACUUCUUCAAGAAUAUUAUCAUUUAUAAAUAUGGCUUGAUUAUCAAUCUCAUUUUGUGUUCUGGAAAAAACAUAUUUCUUUUUACUAUGAACCAAUUUCCAAAGUUCCUUUUCUGUAUCAGGAUCUUCAUUUUUUGGAAUAUAUUGUCCCCAUAAAUCGUAGCUUUUUCUGCCAUAUAAAAUAGUAUCAAUUUGAUUUAAGAAAUCAGUAAACCCCAUAUCAGGGUCCAUAAUGCACCAAUCAACUUCUCCAUUUUUCCCUUCAAUAAAACCAUCUAAAGUAACUGCUAAAUCUAAAAUGAUUCUUCUCUGUUUUAAGUUAUUUGUCAUAACUAUUCAUCCUUUUCCAUAAGAAGUUGGUAGAAAUUCUUCUCCCACUCUCGCACCAGAUAGACUAAGUUGCGUUUAUGGACUGAGUGAAGAACAGUAUCCUAAAAUGAAAGUGCCCACUACUUUUCGCAGCUUGAUUAGCCGGAACACUCUUUAUCUUCACUUGGUUAAAUGAAAGCUCUGCUCGAUUAAGUUAUAGAUUUCGCCUUCUGGAUCUGUCCGUUCUAAAACAAUUGAAAUCCAAUGUUCCUUAUCCAUAUGAUAUCCGGGUAAGAUAUUUUCCCCGUUUCUUAAGCUAUCACUUAUUUCAGGGGGACAUUUUAGAUUUAGAAUAUCUAUUUCGCCAUGACCAUCCAAGCCUAAUUUUUCUGGGAGAACAUUCAUGAUAAGACCGUACCAUUUUUUGUUUGAUGUAUGUCUCAAAGAAGCAUAGUUUGGGUAUUUCACCCACGGGUAAUCAGGCGAUGUACCGUAUUUUUCUUUGACGUGUUUAAAGAUAUCUUCUCUUGUUAACAUACUCAAUCACUCCUUUAUUCACUCUCAUUCUUUCAUAGAAAAAACAAAGGUCAACGGAUUUUUGGUAGUCUUUUGGACAUGUCACCAAUGGCAGAGUUAUAUCUAAUGCUUCUAAUCCCCACGGGUACCAUUCAAUGGCGGGUUGAAGGAAGUAUGCUUUUUCAUAUUGAUGAAUCUAUUAUUGUUAGUAGGCACGGGAUCAUCUAUUCCUUUUUACUGUACCACAAGCCUCUGUUGAAAUACCCCAUUAAGACAGUGAAAUAGAAAAAUCGCUAUAUAUAAAAGGUGAUGGAUGCUGUUCUUGAUCGAAACGAGUAUGCUAAUAUAAUCUCGUUUAGGAGGGGAUUGAUAUGAUCAAGAAAAUGGCUCAAAUGAAUUUGAAAGAUUUCAAUAAACCAAAUGAACCUUUCGUUGUUUUUGGGAGAAUGAUACCUGCUUUUGAAAACGGUGUUUGGACAUAUACUGAGGAACGAUUUUCUGAACCUUAUUUUAAACAAUAUGAAGAUGAUGAAAUGGAUGUUAGUUAUAUU